GUUGGCUAAAUCGACUCCAGAUACAGAGCCUCUUGUUUGCUGGUCAGCCCGAGUUCAUUCAGUGUCAAAGCACUCUCCUCAUCACUGAAAGCCCGCUUAGGGUAUGGCCUCACCUGUACCCUCAACGCAAUUAGAACAGGAACAUAAACUUAUAUCCUUUAUAAGGUGUAGUCAGUAUGAGCAUAGGGUUUACUCGCAGAAGUCAGAAGGAAUAGAGAAUAACAGUGAACUUACCAAUCUGUAAGUGCCAGGUUUGACCCCUCUACCAAUAUCUAUGAAGUCAAAAAGAAACUGCAAGGCAAAUAAGAAUGCAUGUUUAGCAACGAGCCAAGUGAUGGAGCAAAACAAUCAUUCCUCCAAAUAGCAUACCUGUAGCUUGUCAGACUUAAGAAAUCGGCGCCCACGGCGUAUACCAUCCGGCAUCCGUACCAGAAGGGUUACAGCAUUUUCAUCAUCCGAUCCUGGUUCCUCUGGAAGAGAAGCUUCUUUUGCAGCCAGUUGUCUCUCCAAUUCCUGCCAGUAAGAAUCAUAACGAUUGUGGCAGUAAACAACUUGAAAAAUAAAUAAGUAAUAUAUUCAUUUCAUUUCUGUCUUGUCCAGUAAACGGCAUAAACCAAUAUUAAGGUAUAAUUUCUGUCACGAAAAAAAAAAACAAUCAGGUGGGAUGCAAUGAUGUAAAACAAGCAGGGUGUAUGCAUCAUAUAUCCAAUUACAAGGAGAUAAUUGAUAGCAUAAUAAUGAAGAAAAAACCAUCUGGAAGAAAAAUGUUGAGUAUUGAAGCUCAUUUCAGAUCACCUAGUAAAUACCAACUUGCCAUCUUUCUUCUAAUCAAAUUCUGAAAUUCACAAGAAUUUUGAAACAAGGUUUUUAGCUUCAAACCAUAACUUGAGCAGAAAACCUUACAACUUAUCAAAAGUUUCUGUUUCCAAGUGCAAUCACUUCUUACAUGAAAGGAGAACUUGUAACCUAUAAACUUAUAAUUAAUUUGAAAUAUCAAGUCAAUACUAAUGUAUAAUUAUUCAAACCCCAGAUUAAUCAGAGAAGACAUUAAAAAAAUUAGUGAAAAACAAAUACAAAUGGCUGUGUUUCAAGCUUUGUUUGCCAAACAUACAGGAUACUGACCAUUUCACUAUUCAAUGGCAAAAGAAUGCAUGUAGUUUGGAUCUCCCCCUAACUUAGAUCGCCAGAUGCAUCUAAAAGCUACCAAGAACUGGGAAAGAAGAGGGAUUUAUAUUUUUGGGUUUUACUAGUUGCAAGGGGAACCUCAUAUCCAUGUUGCGGCACACCUCUACCAAUCAAAUAUCAAUCAACAGUACCUGUUCUUCCUCCAAUUUCCUGCGAGAUUCUUCCUCUUUUUGUCUGUCUUCUUCACGAGCUUUUUCUCUAGCAGCUUCCUCUUCUAAGCGAUGAGCUUCGGCUUCCUCCAGGGCCUUUAAUUCUUUUUCUUUGUCAGCCAGCAAAGACGCGUGAUAUUCAUCAUCCUGCAAGUGUCAGACAAAUCAUAGAACCACUGAAAGUUAAAUCACAUCAUGUUUGAUAAUUUUUUUUUUUGAUAAGUAAGAAGAAAUAUAUUAGAAAAGAAAAGGGCAAGGCCCAAGUACACAGGGGGUAUACAAAGAGCCUUGCUACAGGCUAAGAGCUGCAAAGAGCAGCGUAAAGUUC
Carya illinoinensis is the source of this 1662-nucleotide long non-coding RNA. RefSeq lists it as uncharacterized. The record is from RefSeq and is a predicted model, not a curated record. The transcript has 2 exons. NCBI's taxonomy places the organism in Eukaryota, Viridiplantae, Streptophyta, Magnoliopsida, Fagales, Juglandaceae.